GUGCUCGAAGCUUAAGUUUUGAAGCAGCAGCCUUGUAAGCUGAAGAUUGAGGACUUGUUCUCCUCCCCGCACA
Molecule: transfer RNA, 73 nt
Filed under: Trachonurus sulcatus (bristly grenadier)
Lineage: Eukaryota; Metazoa; Chordata; Actinopteri; Gadiformes; Macrouridae
Description: tRNA-Thr
Rfam family: tRNA
About the family: Transfer RNA (tRNA) molecules are approximately 80 nucleotides in length. Their secondary structure includes four short double-helical elements and three loops (D, anti-codon, and T loops). Further hydrogen bonds mediate the characteristic L-shaped molecular structure. tRNAs have two regions of fundamental functional importance: the anti-codon, which is responsible for specific mRNA codon recognition, and the 3' end, to which the tRNAs corresponding amino acid is attached (by aminoacyl-tRNA synthetases). tRNAs cope with the degeneracy of the genetic code in two manners: having more than one tRNA (with a specific anti-codon) for a particular amino acid; and 'wobble' base-pairing, i.e. permitting non-standard base-pairing at the 3rd anti-codon position.
Source: RNAcentral